GGCAGCGGGGUGCUGCUUUGUUUCCACAGCACCCUGCGAGUGUUUCCAGGCCUCCAUUCAGGCACUGGGAUCCUCACUGAGCACUUCCUGUGUGCAGCCACUCUUCUGAGGACACGGAAACUACUCAUGGAACUUACAGUUCUAGCAGAGGAGACCGACAAGUGACUUUCAUCUCAGUAAAUAUAUUUCUGCCACCUGGCUCACAAGCUCAAGGUUCUGAGUUUGAUCCCCAGUUCCAAAAAAGAACCCAAAACAAAACUGAUUCAGUAAACAUAUAGUUUCAGGCUAUGUUAAGAGAUAUAAAAAAUAAAGCACAGAAGUCUACCUUGGCAUAGGGGAUCCAUUCUGAGACCCCAGCACUGAGAUGCUGAGAGGGAGGAGCUGAUAACCAUGGAUAUGCUGGACAGCGGCACGAUCCGGACCAGGACAGGACAGACCAUGACAGAGUGUGAUUUCAUCACGCUCCUCAGAAAGGCUCGCCAUUUAAAGCAAUGUCACCCAAUCACCACAGGACAGGUGUUGCUACGUCAGGUACUCGGGAUAAGACCAGGUUCCCUCUGUGGAUCUUUAUGUUGGUGGAUGCUGACCACAGAAUGCUUCGCAUUGAGCCUAGGUGCUGUGGUGUGGACGGCUGUGGAGCCCCGGCAGGCCCAGCGGAGGAGACACCUGGGCUGACCUGGGCAGCUGAGCAGGAGAUGACACGAGAAGAGAGCUGGGUGUCCCAGGAAGAGGAGGAGGCUUGUCCAGCACAAAGGGAGGGUGUCAUUCCAGGGACGGGAGUGAGUCUUUCAAGACCCGAGAAAGAGAAUGAGUCUUCUUUAUUUCUUCUCUCUUCGCCAAAGCUUUCUUUUGGUUCUGCUGUUUCAAGCGUGUUAUCAUGGGUCCAUGAGGUCUUUGUAGAUGGCCACUUUGACGUCCUUGCCAGAGAGUUCCAUCUGUCGCCUCGGUAUUGGCAUCUACUAAUUGUCUCUCCAAGUUUCAGUCGAGACUUCCUUGGUUCUUGAUUUACAUCUGGACAUUUGGGGUAUUACAUUAUGAGGCCCUUUUGAAAAUCUUCUGUUUCAGCAGGCACCAAAGGUGCAAGUUCUCCCCUCAGCCACUGGCAUCUGUGGGGCAUGGAGGGUAGGAGGAAGUGGGUGCCUCCUUAGUCCUGGGCCACGGCAGAAGUUCUGGCUCCUAGUCAUCUGGACAGUAGCACCCUGGUGCCACGUCAUUUCUCCAGUCUGAUCUCCCUAGCCUUCCGCCUGUCAGUCUUCUUACCUUUGAUGUCUGCAUAGUGCCCCGGGAUUUAGAUGUACUCAGAGAGAGGAAUACGGAGAAGUAUGUCUGCUCCAUCUUGUCUAGAACUGGAAGUUCAAACCAAAACUAUGAGGAAGGACAGGAAAUCUUGACCCAUGAGACUAGCAAAUCAGACAGCUAUUUCCAGAACCCACUUUCACCAUUAAAAAUGAUUGAGGACUCCAGAAAGCUUUUGAUGUUGAGGACUGUAUCUAUCAAUAAUUACUGCAUCGGACAUUAAAACAGCUGAGAGUAUAGCUCAGUGGUAGAGCAUGCGCUUAAAUUAACAUCUGUAAGGCCCUGGGUUCAACCCCAGCACCACCUCCUCCCACCAAAAAAAAAAAAAAAAAAAAAGGAAAGAAAGGGAAGUGAAAAAUGAGAGAAAGAAAUUAAAAUCCAACACUUAUAAUUAUCCCAUUACAUAAUAUAUAACGUUUUAAAUGAAAAACAAUUACAUUUUGCACAAGAAAAACAAUCAGGGAGAAGGGCGACUUUGUCUUAUACUUCAGCCAGUCUCCCUAGUAUCUGGCUUUAAGACCGCCAUCCUCUGCAUGAGUUCAGUCUGGUGUGAUGCUUCAGGCUACGUGGCCUCCAGAACCUUCCACGUGCACUUGGGAGAGAGAGAGAGGAGGCGAGCAGCAUCGUGCUGACACCAAGGUAGUUUAGGCUUCAGAACCACCCAGUCCAUCCUUCAGAAGGACUGUAGGAACCCCGGGUCCCAGGCUGUGAGUGGCCGUUCCAGACUGCAGCUGCCAGGAACUUGAGGGGAAGCUAAUGUGAUCGAGGAACAGAACUUCCCACUGUAUUUAAUUUCAGUAAUUCGAACUUAAAAACAAUUAUAUAUAAACACAUAACCUUAGAGUUUCUGUAGAAAUGCAUUUUACUCUAACCCGAGAACACGGAUAUCUGAACUGAAAUGUGCUGUCCACGGCAGAUUUUGAGGAGCCCGGGGGGAAGAAGAGUGGGAGGCACCUCAUUAGUACUUUAUACUGAGACCGUG
This is a long non-coding RNA of Heterocephalus glaber (naked mole-rat), 2278 nucleotides long. Lineage: Eukaryota; Metazoa; Chordata; Mammalia; Rodentia; Bathyergidae. The record is from Ensembl.